Long non-coding RNA from Vigna radiata var. radiata (mung bean), 1220 nucleotides. RefSeq lists it as uncharacterized. The record is from RefSeq and is a predicted model, not a curated record. NCBI's taxonomy places the organism in Eukaryota, Viridiplantae, Streptophyta, Magnoliopsida, Fabales, Fabaceae. The transcript is spliced from 3 exons.
UUUAUUUAUCAAAUUUUAAAUUUUGGUUAUAUGAUUUCCUCUUAUUGGAUUUCCUUGGGAGUAUUAUUGGAUUGGGUUGCUCCCUCCACUUCUCCGUUUCCACCCUUCAUCUUCCCUCUGCAACUUUUUUUAUAUUACUAAUUUUUUUUUUUUUUACUUUAUUUUUACUUUUUAACCCUAUUUAAUUAAGGAAUCCUAGAUUUUUACUUUCCAAUUUUCUACUUUCACUUAUGGUCGCCCCACCUCCCCUUCUCACCCUAGAUCUGUUUUCCUUUCUCACCUCAUCCAAAUCUGUUUCAUUUUUUUUUGUAAAACUCUUACUUCCAACUCUCCCAGUCCUCUCUUCCGUUUGUGCGUGGUUCUUUGUAGCUUUUGGUGUGUGCGGCGACGGUGCGGCGAGUGUGUUCGGUGGUUUGAUGUUUCCCUUUUGGUCUACGAGAGACGUCCAGGCCUGAACGGAUGUCGCACAUCCGUUUGACCCUGAAACGAAUGUCGAUAUCCGUCGAAGUUGAUUCCAGAUUCUAGUCGAAGGAAGAGCAAAAUCACGAGCAACUAUUUUCAACAGGCCUUCUUCACUGAACUCACUCAAUGCGUCCAUGGUUUGUCGGUUGAAGAGACCGUAUGAUUUGUGGGAAGAGAACUCUGACAUUGGAUUUGUUUUGAUGAAGGUAUUACUGUUGUGUUGGGUGAGUAGGUUUUAAUCCUAAAAAUAUAUUGAAAGAUAAAUUAAAAAUAGAAAAAUAGAACGAGGGAUAAAAGAAAAAGAGGGAGGUGGAGUAGGAAACGGGGAGGUGGAGGGAGUAACCUGUUGAAUUUCCACGUGUGUCCUGAAUUUGAUACACCCCAUAUCUCCCAUACAAUAUCUAUUUAUUUAUUUUAUAUAUUUUUUGUAGAGGUAAAAUGAGAAUUACAGCAAAAGUUAGAGGUGCAGGAAGAAAUCCCUGCAUAGAAUGACUAAGAAAAACUUUACUGGGCCUUAGAAGGAUUUUGGGCCAUAACUGGAUAUCUAUAGUUUUUCUUGUACUUCAUAUUCAGUGGGUUUCUCUUCACACCCCUAAACUAUUUCUUCAAAUUGAAGUCAAUAUGAUUAAUAAUAUUAUUGUUAUGGACACCAUCCUCCUAUUUUUGUAAAUUGCUAGAAUAUUAUUUUCAUGUCAUAAUAAUUUUUUUAACGAAUUAAGAUGAAUGUAUUCUUUUAGACAAACUAAAUUAUAAUUUUG